GUCGAGCGUCACUAGCCAGAUAAAGCUAGCUGGCUGCUUAUAACCUUAGCUUUGGUCAACAGGGUUAAGUAGCUGGCUAGCUAUUUAUUUUCAUGAACUGAAGUUCAAUUUCAAUUGGCAAACAACAAGUGGCUACCUAGCUAAAACGUACUCACAAGGAUUCCUUGUUAAGGAUAAUGAAAAUGACUGCAGUUUCUACUGGUCGUUGUUUUCAGGCUGGUUGUAUUGGUGCUAGCUAGGUACCACGCUAAAGCUAGCUAGCUACCCCAGAAGAUGCAGUCAAACAAAUAAUGUCUUAUUACCAUCGUGGUAUUGUAAACAUAUCGUUUGUGGCCAUUGUGUGCUUGUUUGCAGACUUUUUUGUACAGCUUUGACAGUGCUACUGAUAGUGGUGGCGCUUGGCUUACACGUGCAAAUUCAUCACACACAACAUUCUAAUAGAAUUAUUCUAUAUGUGUAGGGAAGUAUUUAAACACUUGCUUAGGUCCAACCUCUGAUCUUUCCAAGGAUUUUUUAUAUGCCAAACUGGAACCCAAACAAUGCAAAAACUGGGCAUCGACGCGUCGCAACUCCAAUAACCCUUCCUUGAGCCUAUGCCUCUGACAGCACAAUGACUGAUGACUCCCCUUCAGGCUACAGGAAUGGAACCAGGGAACAGUGAGGGAAGGGUUGAGGUUCUGGGAUAAAUUUAUUGGACGGACAGGAAGGGUGCCCACGAUGUCCCGGAGCAGAUGGCGACCCUCUCCUUUGCUGACGUCCGUAGGGAAUUCAAGACCCUUCUUAGCAUUCCUUUAGAGUGCUCCGACAGAUAUGUAGCCUAUGGAACUCUUGAGUGUCACUGUGCAACAUUAACCACACACGUGAGUAAUUUAGGAUAUUUUAUUGAACUCCCAAGAUAUACCAGGGCAUUACAAUAUCAUCCUUAAAAUAAAGCAAAUGAUCUUGAAAAGAACAUAGCAAAAGAAAGUAAAUCAGCAUUGGUUUGACUAGUGCCGUGUACUUACAAAAUAGAGCUGUCUGUAACAACAUAGAAAAAGCCAUAUGAAACCAAUGAAAACAUUCUUCAACGAGUUUAUGCAUUCAAUUAUGGCUAUAUGGACAAAAAGAACCGCCCGACAAGAUAAACCUACGACACUACGAUAAUAGCAUCGGGCUCAAUGCCAGUCAAACAAUGUGCCUUAUUAGGAACAUUCCUCUUAUAUUUGGUGAUGUUGUCCCAGAAGGAGACAAACACUGGCAUUUGAUGUUGCUGCUGUUGGACAUUGUCAGCAUUGUAUUUUCUCCCAGCAUCACUGAGGGGAUGACUCUAUUUUUUAAGGAUCUUAUCGCAGAGCAACAUAGAUUGUUUUCAGAGUUGUAUUCUCUGAAUAAUCUGAUUCCGAAGGAUCACUUCCACUAUUCAGAAUCUAUAUGCAAAAUUGGUCCUUUGAUACAUGUUUGGGCAAUGAGGCCGUUUUUCAAGUCGAGCAUAAAACAUUUCAAGAAUGUAACCAAAUCCCUCUCUAAGAAACACCAAAUGGCUAUUGCAUAUCAUUGGGAAUUCCUCGGCAUCAAAAGCAUUGAGACUGAGCCUGAGAAAACUCAAAUGCUGAAUGACAUUGAAAAUUGUGAAUUGAUCUCACAGCAUUUUCAGCUUGAUAUGUCCGGUGAAAUACGUGUCACACCCUGGGUUAUGUGUGAUGGCAUUGAGUAUCACACUGGCAUUGUUGUCUGUUCAGAUGUAGUGGAUGAGAUGCCAGUGUUCAGUAAGAUUGUUGGCAUAUAUCUGAGAGAUUAGAUUUAUUUGUGGGGUCAGUCAUGGAGACUACAUUUGUUGAGCACUUUCAUGCAUUUCAUAUUACUGAACAAGACCGUCUUUCAAUAAUCAAACCAGUUGAGAUGUUUUAAACCUUUUGAUCUCCAUCUUUUUUUAAAUGUUGUUACAGACAGCUGAGUGACUCAUCAUAGCUUACACUGAAAACAAAAGUAACAUUGAAAAGUCUGUUGAAUGCUGCCAAUGAGGUGCUCCCCUGGCAUGGAAUGAGCUUCUUUGUCCAUGAUUACAUUUACAUUACAUUUAAGUCAUUUAGCAGACGCUCUUAUCCAGAGCGACUUACAAAAUGGUGCAUUCACCUUAUGAUAUCCAG
This 2126-nucleotide long non-coding RNA is filed under the name Salmo salar (Atlantic salmon). Its description in RNAcentral is "lncRNA (ENSSSAG00000095037.1)". Lineage: Eukaryota; Metazoa; Chordata; Actinopteri; Salmoniformes; Salmonidae. The record is from RNAcentral.